This 253-nucleotide ribosomal RNA is filed under the name uncultured bacterium. RNAcentral describes it as "partial 16S ribosomal RNA". It matches the Rfam family "Bacterial small subunit ribosomal RNA", at positions 524 to 776 of the family's 1533-position model. The record is from RNAcentral.
UACAGAGGUCUCAUGCGUUGUUCGGAUUCAUUGGGCGUAAAGGGCGCGUAGGCGGCGGGGUAAGUCGGGUGUGAAAUCUCAGGGCUCAACCCUGAAACUGCACUCGAUACUGCUCUGCUUGAGGACUGGAGAGGAGACUGGAAUUCACGGUGUAGCAGUGAAAUGCGUAGAUAUCGUGAGGAAGACCAGUGGCGAAGGCGGGUCUCUGGACAGUUCCUGACGCUGAGGCGCGAAGGCCAGGGGAGCAAACGGG